AAAACAUGUCUUUUUGAAAAUAAUAUAAAGUCUAAUCUGCCCACUGAUUAUAAAUUAAAGGGCUGCAGUAUAUUGACUGUACAAAGGUAGCAUAAUCAUUAGUCAUUUAAUUGAUGACUUGUAUGAAAGAUUGAAUGAGAUAUAUACUGUCUCUAAUUUAAUUAUAAAAUUUAAUUUUUUUAUUAAAAAGUUAAGAUAUUUUAAAAAGACGAGAAGACCCUAUAGAGUUUAAUUGAUUAUUAAUUUGAUUUUAUUUUGAAUAAUAAUAAUAAUUAAAUUUAAUAGUUUAUUUUAUUGGGGUGAUAAAAAAAUAAAUAAAACUUUUUUUAAUAGAAAACAUUUAUAAGUGAAUAAAUGAUCCAAUAAUAUUGAUUAUAAGAAAAAAUUACCUUAGGGAUAACAGCGUAAUUUUUUUUUUUAGUUCAAAUAAGAAAAAAAGUUUGCGACCUCGAUGUUGGAUUAAGAUAAAAUUUAAAUGUAGAAGUUUAAAAUUUUGAUCUGUUCGAUCAUUAAAAUCUUACAUGAUCU
RNAcentral lists this ribosomal RNA (528 nucleotides) under Acrapex parvaclara. Its description in RNAcentral is "partial 16S ribosomal RNA". The stretch from base 396 to 528 matches the Rfam family "Bacterial large subunit ribosomal RNA", at positions 2473 to 2606 of the family's 2925-position model. Lineage: Eukaryota; Metazoa; Arthropoda; Insecta; Lepidoptera; Noctuidae. The record is from RNAcentral.